RNAcentral lists this ribosomal RNA (230 nucleotides) under Triticum aestivum (bread wheat). RNAcentral's name for it is "partial small subunit ribosomal RNA". Lineage: Eukaryota; Viridiplantae; Streptophyta; Magnoliopsida; Poales; Poaceae. The record is from RNAcentral.
CUCAAUUUCAUUGGUGAUUUCACAUGCUUCUAAUCCACCAUCUUGCGCAAAGUGGUCAUAAAUCCAAUCAGGGAAAUACUUUUCACUGGAUUUUGCAACAAUUGAUCUUACAUUUCUCCUCCUUCCAACCAUCUCCAGCAGCAUCAUUCCAUAACUAUAAACAUCCGACUUUGUUGAAACCAAUCCAAAGGUUUGGGAGUGAACUUCUGGGGCGAUGAAUCCAAUUGUUC